RNAcentral lists this ribosomal RNA (440 nucleotides) under uncultured bacterium. RNAcentral describes it as "partial 16S ribosomal RNA". It matches the Rfam family "Bacterial small subunit ribosomal RNA", at positions 338 to 795 of the family's 1533-position model. The record is from RNAcentral.
CCUACGGGGAGCAGCAGUGGGGGAUAUUGCACAAUGGGGGAAACCCUGAUGCAGCGACGCCGCGUGGGUGAAGAAGCGCCUCGGCGCGUAAAGCCCUGUCAGCAGGGAAGAAAAUGACGGUACCUGAAGAAGAAGCCCCGGCUAACUACGUGCCAGCAGCCGCGGUAAUACGUAGGGGGCAAGCGUUAUCCGGAUUUACUGGGUGUAAAGGGGGCGCAGGCGGCGAUGCAAGCCAGGAGUGAAAGCCCGGGGCCCAACCCCGGGACUGCUCUUGGAACUGCGUGGCUAGAGUGCAGGAGGGGCAGGCGGAAUUCCUGGUGUAGCGGUGAAAUGCGUAGAUAUCAGGAGGAACACCGGUGGCGAAGGCGGCCUGCUGGACUGCAACUGACGUUGAGGCCCGAAAGCGUGGGGAGCAAACAGGAUUAGAUACCCCAGUAGUC